This 361-nucleotide ribosomal RNA is filed under the name uncultured bacterium. Its description in RNAcentral is "bacterial SSU rRNA". It matches the Rfam family "Bacterial small subunit ribosomal RNA", at positions 527 to 890 of the family's 1533-position model. The record is from RNAcentral.
GGAGGGUGCAAGCGUUAUCCGGAUUCACUGGGUUUAAAGGGUGCGUAGGCGGAUAGGGAAGUCCGUGGUGAAAUCCUGCAGCUUAACUGCAGAACUGCCGUGGAUACUCUCUAUCUUGAAUAUCGUGGAGGUUAGCGGAAUAUGUCAUGUAGCGGUGAAAUGCUUAGAUAUGACAUAGAACACCCAUUGCGAAGGCAGCUAACUACGCGAUCAUUGACGCUGAUGCACGAAAGCGUGGGGAUCAAACAGGAUUAGAUACCCUGGUAGUCCACGCCCUAAACGAUGAUUACUCGACAUUGGUGAUACACAGUCAGUGUCUGAGCGAAAGCAUUAAGUAAUCCACCUGGGAAGUACGAUCGCA